This 500-nucleotide ribosomal RNA is filed under the name uncultured bacterium. RNAcentral's name for it is "partial 16S ribosomal RNA". It matches the Rfam family "Bacterial small subunit ribosomal RNA", at positions 28 to 507 of the family's 1533-position model. The record is from RNAcentral.
GACGAACGCUGGCGGCGUGCUUAACACAUGCAAGUCGAACGGGCCUGUCUUCUUUUUUGGGGGGUGGGUUGAGUGGCGAACGGGUGAGUAUCACGUGAGUAACCUGCCCUUCGGUCCUGGAUAACCGCUUGAAAGGGCGGCUAAUACGGGGUGGUCCGGUUGGUCCGCAUGGGCUGGUCGGGAUAGAUUCACUGUUUUUGGUGUUUCGGCGGGGGAUGGGCUCGCGGCCUAUCAGCUUGUUGGUGGGGUGAUGGCCUACCAAGGCGGGGACGGGUAGCCGGCCUGAGGGGGUGGGCGGCCACACUGGGACUGGGAUACGGCCCAGACUCCUGCGGGAGGCAGCAGUGGGGGGUAUUGCACAAUGGGCGGAAGCCUGAUGCAGCGACGUCGCGUGAGGGAUGGAGGCCUUCGGGUUGUGAACCUCUGUUUCCGGUGGUGAAGGCCCUGUCCGUGUGGUGGGGUUGACGGUAGCCGGGGAUGAAGCGCCGGCUAACUACGUG